AUCGGAGAGAGCGGCUUUUCCCUCAGUCUGGCUGCGUCUUUCUCCUUCCUCUCACAUAUGCGUCUCCUUGGAUGCACGGCCUGAAGGCUCUCAGCCUUCCUGAGGUGUGAGAGCCCACAAAGGCCUUUGCAGCUCCUGAUACACAGCAGACAGGUGGCACCUCUUGGGCAGUGCUGAGGGUCCGUUUGCUGUUCCAUGUUGUGCCCACUGAUUGGGGGCACGAUUUAAAAACUUGGUUUAUCGUUCCCUGAUUCAUUUCAAUGCAUUAUUUCAAAUGAAUGAAGAAGAGCUUCAGGCUGUGUAAGACUAACAAUUGGAUGGCUUUGCUUAUGGAUAUACCUAAGAUAUCACAAUGAUUUUUUAUGUAGUUUUUUACCUAACUAGAAAAUGAAUGGUCUGUUUCCAUGGGACCUUUUGGACCCCAACUGUUGUUCAGUCCUCAGGGUUAUCUGAUCAGAAUUCCAUCCAGGAAAACAGAAAGAUAUCGGCGUGUCUGGACUGAGGUGAAAAUUAGGUACCAAGUCCAGGGAAAAAGAACACAAAAACUAUUUCCAAUCUGAAGGAAAUAUGAUCAGAAAACGCAGAUUUUGUUGAAAUUGGGCAUCACGAUAUACCUUUACCUCCUAAUUGUCCAUAAGGAUGCAGUACGAUUACCAUGGAUUCUGGCAGGCAUGCAAAAAAUCCCAGCAGUAUGCAGUCACUGUGUGUCUGUGUGACUUUGUACAACUAACAUCACCUCUGCACUUCAUAAAUCUUACCAGAAAAGCCUAUUUUCUCAGCAGCUAAGACCUGGUUUUGUGUGGGACUGUGCAUGAUAAAUUAGAUUUGCCUCAAUGUGGGGACUUUAUGUGAUCUUCAAUUUCCCAAUGCAAUCCUCGCCUCGUCCUUUGCACCCACAACAUUUACACAGAUUGAUUGGACUGCUACUGCAACAGAAAAUCACCACUGCGAGGAGGAGCAGUUCUCUGCAUAAAUCCUGCACGACAAAGCCACGGAGAUUUGCAAAUACCAGUACUGAGGUAGGUGAGCAAGGAGUAAAGCUGAGGGCAGUACUACUUCUGCCUGUGGAAGUUUAUCAUGUGGGGCUGAUGGGCUUAUUGUAUGGAGGCGUGACAGGAAAAGUGGCAUCUCAGUAUAGUUAAAUGCAAAGUCCCACUUGAGGACUCCACCAAACAGUACUGAUGAAGAAAGUUAUGUGUAGUAACCUGCCAGCUGAAUGCCCAUUAACUAAAAUGUGGAGUGCUUUAAUUGUAGUGAAAGAAAACAAAUGCCACUGUUGGACUCACCAGCAAGAAAGAGGAUUAUUGACUAUCAACACUCCUCCCUGCAUACUCCCAGAACCAACAUACAGUGCAGUAAACAGUGUUUUAAUUGGGAGUAUAAAACAUGGCCUAUUCUAUGCAGCACGGGCCUUGUGAGCUAAAGAGCACCUCCAGAAGGCCAAAUGUUUGGGGGGGUUUUGAUUUAAGUCAUCUCAAGAAUCCCCGAACUAUUUUCCAUUGCACCCCUAUAGUCAGAAGUGAGAGUAAUAACUGACAAGUCUCAUUUUUACUUUCUUCAUGAGCCCUUCUUCUGCAGUGAGGAUACUUUCCACCCUCCCCCUGGACCUGGGGAACUCAGAUAGUCACAGACAUUCACCUUGCUUGAAAAAGGCUGUCAUAUUUUCUGGUUGAUAACUUAUUUUAGUCAUCUUGCCUUCCUUCUGCAGGCGUAAGGUUUAACUGUUUUAAUAUAAGCAUGGUCAUUUACAAAUGGCCUUAACAGCACUUCUGUUUCUAUGUUCUUAAACACAACUAUUACAAUGACAGCUGAUUGAGAACGACACCAAGCCAAAGUUUUGGCUAUACUUUUAUUUACUUCACAUACUAUGAACAUAUACAUUACAUGCUACAAAAAAAAAUAAUUAAAAAAAAAAAAGACUUUAGCUGUCAAGAAAGUGGAUAGUGUUAUAAUACAAUGGCACAUGUUCAUAUUUCUCUUCAAACUGGUUUGGUUAGAAUCCUUCCCCAAAACCAUUAACAAAAACGAAGUGUUUUAUUCUUAAGAUGAUUAGAAAUAUUUGCAUUAUUAACAAAUACAAUUCAAACAGAUUAACAAGAUUUAACCAGGUCAAAUAUUAGUAAAAAGGCUGGGAUUUACCAAAAUGAAAUCUAUAUUAAAAAAACAUAGCAGCCAGUUGUACUUUUAGUGUGAUAUAAUGUGUAAAUGCACCAGAAGAACACAGUGUAAUUGAGCAUUCUGCUUUCACGGUGUAUUUCUAGAAAUGAUUAUUCUAGUUCUAACACCUGCCUAUGCACAACAGAGCAAAACCACAGCCAGACAGAGACAGAGGAUUGUGACCAACGUUCUUCGCAAUGAUUCUUUGCACGCAUUGGGAAGAAGGGAGAGAACAGAAGAGGAUAAACAAAGGCCACAGAGGAUUUAAUCUACAUGAUCAUGAACGUAAGUUCUACCUAUUGUCCUUUAAAAGAGCUCGGUAAGUUGAAAUGUCUAUUUUGCACAAAUGCAAACGUUAAUUUCUAUCACCUAUGGAAAAAAAAACCCCACAUUUCAGCUUAGAACUGAACAGUGGAAAACAGCUGCAUGGAUGCAUUGGUUGACUAAGAAAAACCGCUUGACAAGAACUUAGGAUUCUACUGCAACAGCAGCUAUUAAGACUCCUAUAGUUUCUUUUUUGCUCUUUCAAAGUGUACAAAUAUUUGCAAUUUACACAGUCCUCACAAAAACACAUCUACAAACUCCGCAGGGUAUUUGCUAGUUAGCAACUCCAUGUAAGUCCUUCGUAUUAAAAAGGCAAGGUUUGCAUAAUAAAAUUCCUUUCAGGAAAAAAAAAAA
Molecule: long non-coding RNA, 2835 nt
Organism: Gallus gallus (chicken)
Lineage: Eukaryota; Metazoa; Chordata; Aves; Galliformes; Phasianidae
Exons: 2
Source: RefSeq, a predicted model, not a curated record